GUCUACAGCCGUGCCACCCUGAACAAGCCCAAUCCCGUCUGAUCUCGGAGUCUGAUCUUGGAAGCUAAGCAGGGUUGAGCCUGGUUAGUACUUGGAUGGGAGACCACCUAGGAGGACCAGAUGCUAUAGGCA
This is a ribosomal RNA of Pteropus vampyrus (large flying fox), 132 nucleotides long. Lineage: Eukaryota; Metazoa; Chordata; Mammalia; Chiroptera; Pteropodidae. The record is from Ensembl.